UAGGGAAUCUUCCGCAAUGGGCGAAAGCCUGACGGAGCAACGCCGCGUGAGUGAUGAAGGUCUUCGGAUCGUAAAACUCUGUUAUUAGGGAAGAACAAAUGUGUAUGUAACUAUGCACGUCUUGACGGUACCUAAUCAGAAAGCCACGGCUAACUACGUGCCAGCAGCCGCGGUAAUACGUAGGUGGCAAGCGUUAUCCGGAAUUAUUGGGCGUAAAGCGCGCGUAGGCGGUUUUUUAAGUCUGAUGUGAAAGCCCACGGCUCAACCGUGGAGGGUCAUUGGAAACUGGAAAACUUGAGUGCAGAAGAGGAAAGUGGAAUUCCAUGUGUAGCGGUGAAAUGCGCAGAGAUAUGGAGGAACACCAGUGGCGAAGGCGACUUUCUGGUCUGUAACUGACGCUGAUGUGCGAAAGCGUGGGGAUCAAACAGG
RNAcentral lists this ribosomal RNA (429 nucleotides) under bacterium. RNAcentral's name for it is "partial 16S ribosomal RNA". It matches the Rfam family "Bacterial small subunit ribosomal RNA", at positions 355 to 776 of the family's 1533-position model. The record is from RNAcentral. RNAcentral also lists the same sequence under 1 other name.